CCGGUGUUAAACCGGAGGAAGGUGGGGAUGACGUCAAGUCCUCAUGGCCUUUAUGGGUAGGGCUUCACACGUCAUACAAUGGUCGGUACAGAGGGUUGCCAAGCCGCGAGGUGGAGCCAAUCCCUUAAAGCCGAUCGUAGUCCGGAUCGUUAGUCUGCAACUCGACUACGUGAAGUCGGAAUCGCUAGUAAUCGCAGAUCAGCAUGCUGCGGUGAAUACGUUCCCGGGUCUU
This 232-nucleotide ribosomal RNA is filed under the name uncultured Thauera sp. Its description in RNAcentral is "partial 16S ribosomal RNA". It matches the Rfam family "Bacterial small subunit ribosomal RNA", at positions 1152 to 1382 of the family's 1533-position model. Lineage: Bacteria; Pseudomonadati; Pseudomonadota; Betaproteobacteria; Rhodocyclales; Zoogloeaceae. The record is from RNAcentral.